Molecule: microRNA, 22 nt
Filed under: Gallus gallus (chicken)
Lineage: Eukaryota; Metazoa; Chordata; Aves; Galliformes; Phasianidae
Description: gga-miR-1619 (MIR1619)
Source: RNAcentral
GAAUUCAUAGCAAUACGGACUG